This 5263-nucleotide long non-coding RNA is filed under the name Sus scrofa (pig). RNAcentral describes it as "lncRNA (ENSSSCG00050055935.1)". Lineage: Eukaryota; Metazoa; Chordata; Mammalia; Artiodactyla; Suidae. The record is from RNAcentral.
AUUUGUGAUCUGGGCCACUCCAGGUAGUGGACAGGACCCCACCUUCUGUUACCAUAGCGUUGAUCAUUGUUUAGACUUGGAAAACUCCAUGAGGACGGGGUGUACAGCUGCUCUCAAAGCUGACUGCUAGGCAUUCGUGGGUCCCAGGCCAGUUCUCCAUAGCCUUGUGUUGGGAUACAGCAGCUGAGGACAACAGCAUCCCCAGGUGGGAUGGGUCCUGGCGAUGCCAUUUACCUCCUGACUGCACCCAUGUGUCCUUGUGCCACUGAGGAGGGGGAAUCCCUUCCCCAGUCAGAAGCUUAGCUCCUUUUCUGCCUCUGGAUGAUGGAGGAUAGGCAUUCACGUCUCUGAGUACAAGCUCUUGCCCCCCCUCUGCAAAGUACACCCUGGGCCCUGUAGCCUGGAUAAGCCUUAUUAGUCCAUCCAUACGGCUGUAACAGAGUUUCACAGACUUAGUAGCUGUUAAAAAGCAGCACUAGUUCUCAUUGUGGCUCAGCUGUUAACAAAUCUGACUAGCAUCCACAAGGAUACAGGUUCAAUCCCUGGCCUCACUCAGUGGGUUAAGGAUCUGGCCUUGCCGUGAGCUGUGGUGUAGGUCACAGAAGUGGCUCGGAUCCUGCAUUGCUGGGACUCUGGUGUAGGCCGGCAGCUACAGCUCCAAUUUAAUCCCUAGCCUGGGAACUUCCAUAUGCUGUGGAUGUGGCCCUAAAAUUAAAUUAAAUAAAUAAAUAAAUAAAUAAAUAAAUAAAUAAAUAAGCGACACUUCAUUUCUCAUAGUUCCAGAGACUGAAGGGUGCCUGCAUGGUUGCAUUCUGGUGAGAGCCUCCUUCUUGGUGGCAAAGCCAUUUUUCAUUGCAUCCUUCCGUGGUGGAAAGAGGGUGAGAGAGCUCCCUGGGGCCCCUAAAAGGGACUGACCCCAUCAUGGGGGCUUUACCCUCAAGACCUGGCUAUCUCCCAAAGGCCCCUUCCUGAUACCGUCACACUGGAGGGUUAAGGCUUCAAUAUAUCAAUUAGAGAGGGGUGGGGGUAGGGUGACACAGUCCAUUGCAGAGACCAUCAUAAUACACAGCUGUACUUUCCCGUUGGACUGUCCUCAUCUUAACCACACGAGCUCUGACAGUUUAAUUCCACAACCUACAAGCUGAGAAUUCAGCUUUGUUCAGUGGUGUGACUGAAGGCUGUAGCCUGGAAAAGCCUCUCGGAUCCGAGGAACUCUUCCAAAGAGGGAAGGGAAGAGCCAGAACAUACAGAAAUUUUUUCUGGUGAAAACCAACCAACAAACAAAAAUGUAGUCAAACAUCAAAAAAGUACUGCUAAUCACAAAACCCAGAUUUUCUGGUUAAUGAUUUCAGUGCUUUUAUGUGUAUGGGAAGAUGCAAGAGUCCGGAGUCCUAGAAAUCAUUCCUAUGAUAUGCACCUUAACUGUCUGGACCUUGUAUCUUAUAUUUUUCUAUCCUGAAUUUCCCUCAGGGUGCACCGCUGGGGAGUGGCUACAGCAGUUGAGGACCACAACAGCCUCUGUUUACUGGCAUUCUUUGUCCACAUGAUCCAGGUUAUAUGGGGCCAAAGUCAGUUCAAUUUCUAGUCACAGGUUUUUCUUUAAUGAGUGUUUGAGGAUUAGACCAUCUUGAUACCCACUCCCCACCCCCAACCCCAGAUUUCCUGAGAACUGUGUGGAGUGCUCAUGGACAUGUCUCAAACUCAGGCAUGGAGUACUUUCCUCCUCUUUGUGGACAUAAUGCAGGUAACACUUGAAGCCCCGGGCUGAGGCACGUUCCAGGUUCAUACUUGCCUACCAUCUGCGUGAUGGGAGGGCUUCUUAAAAGUGAUAGCCCACGCAAAGAGGGCAGUGGACUGGGAAGUUCAGUUCCAUUUGUCAUCACCAAAUAUAGGACCUGCAGUUCUUGAAAUAGCACCAUUUCAGCAUCACCUUAACUCCAAGAUCCUUUUCUCUAGCAGAACCCCCACCAUGGUGGAACCAGGACAUCAUCCUUAGCUCAGGAUAUUAGACUGCCUUGGCAGGAGGAUGACUGCAUUUUCCAGAGGCAUCUAACAUGUUCUCCAAAUAGGAAUCAGCCACUUGGGGGUUCUGGAAAAAUUGUCAGGAUAAAGAAUGAGCAGUUACUUUCCAACUUGGAGGGUUGUCAUUUAGGUGGAAUCAAACCCUUGAUUCUUUUUAGGUCUGUUCAUUCCACAAACAUUUAAGAAGUAGAAGGCGUACAAUGAAAAUUUAAGUGGUUUCUAUCCUUGAAGCACUCAAGCGUCUUAGUGGUGGAGGGAGUCAGAUGAUUCAUGCAUAAUGAGGUGAUAAGUGUUAAAAUAAAGGUGUGAAGUAAAGCACAGUGAGAGGAUUAAAAGGUAGGUUGGAGAUGGCCUUGCGAGUGUUGAAAGGUGGACUUUUUCUUGGUGGCCCCAAGCUGACUCCAUGAUGCAAUAAGAGGAUAAAGAGAAUGGGUACAAAUGGAGACUUUAAACAUUGUACAUAUCCCUGUAAUGGAAUAAGGAAUUGACUGUUUACUGAACCAUAAACACACAUCAGUUACAUUUUUCUGCAGGGAUCUCUUUUCAGUAAGACUUCUGAUGUCUUUUUUCUUCAUGGCUUUUGGUAAGCGAGUAAUCUAAACAUUGUCUAUUUUUUUCUAUCUAAUUGUACCUUUUAUAUGCAAAGGGGAGACCAUUCCCUAACACUGGAGUAUGAAGUCUUUCACCAGGGAUUUCUAUCCGAUUAAGAGACUGCAGGCAUUGGGUAUGGCAAGGAUAUCAAGUUCUGAGGGAGAGUUUGGUCUCUGGGUGUUUGCUGGUCCUAGGAGUGCAGUGUGUAGAGGCAAGGGGACAGAUAGAUCUAAAGGAAGAGACAAAAAUGUCAUCCCCCAGUAAGUCAUCCCAGACUAUGUCCCGGAAGGGCUUAUUCCAAGAUGAAGAAACUAUCAGAAACCCAAUAGGGGGAGUUCCGAUGCUGUCGUGGCACAGCCGAAACGAAUCUGACUGCUAUCCAUGAGGAUGUGGGUUCAAUCCCUGGCCUUAUUCAGUGGGUGGGGAUCCCGAGUUGCUGUGGCUGUGGUGUAGGCUGGCAGCUGUACCUCUGAUUCGACCCCUAGCCCGGGAACCUCCAUAUGCCUCAGAUAUGGCCCUAGAAAGACCCAAAAAGAAAAGAAAGACAGAAAAGAAACCCAGCUGGAGUGAAAGUCCCAAGACAGUGGAAGCUCAGAGUAGAGAGAUGGAAGGAUCUAGUUGGCUGCAGGGUGAUUUAUAGGAUUUCAGCUCCUGUAACAGGAAUAGUGAAUCAUGUAGCACAAAGUGAGCCGAACGCAAAUGGAUUUGAAGUCUGAUCUUGAUUGUUCAACCACAAGGUUUUUUUUUUGAUUUAAUAAAUUUAUAAUAGAUAACAUAUAAACCCAUGUUAACUAACAACUUUGGGGAUUUAUUUUCUAUAAUUUGGGGAAAAAUAUGUGUUUUCUGCCAUGUAUUUUAUAGCACAUUUCAAAAUGCCUUUACGCACAGUUAGCUUUACAAACACUUAUUUAUGCAUUUUCUGAACACAUCUGUCCUGUGUUAAGGAAAAUUAAGGUAAGUAAAACCCUCAAUGAGCCUACAGUCUGUUAGUCUGUAACAUACGUGUAUAUGUCCAAACAUAUUUGUAUAUAAUGUAUGCGUGUGUAUAAAUUGUUAUUAAACCUGGAGUUCCCUUUGUGGUGCAGCGGAAACGAACCCGACUAGGAACCAUGUGGUUGCGGGUUCGACCCCUGGCCUCGCUCAGUGGGUUAAGGAUCUGGCAUUGCUGUGGUGUAGUCACAGAUGCAGCGUUGCUGUGGCUCUGGCAUAGGCCAGCAGCUAAAGCUCCGGUUAGACUCCUAGCCUGGGAACCUCCAUAUGCCAUGGGUGCAGCCCUAGAAAGACCAAAAAAAAAAAAAAUGUUAUUAAACAUGGGAAAAAUACAUGGUUUAUGACAGUUUUGAGGAAAUAAUGCAGAGAGUUGGAGAAGAAAUCUCUGAGUUCCAAAGGAAGUAUCUUCAGGAGAACACCUGGAAAGUGAUAAUAGGCUUUGGAGUACAGGUGGGAUUUUAUGGUCUGAAAUGGACCCAAGGGGCUGUACAAUGACUGGAGGAGUGGAAAUCUGAGAAAGUGCCUGCACCUGGGAGGGGAGAUUGCAGAGGUGGGUUGAGGUGAAACCAUUCAUUUGCUUAGAAGCCUGAAUUGAUUCCUCAGUAGAAAAGAGCCAUUGGCGAUUUCUGAGCCCUUUAAAGACAUUAUUACGUAGAAACAUAACUGGCUACCACAUAAGGGUGCUUUAGAAGCGAGGGGGAGUGACUCUACAAAGCAAUCCACAUACAAUAGCCCAGUGAGGGGCCUACUGCAGGGUUCAAAAUAGGUCGGCAACUGUGGGAACAUGAACCGGAAUACAGCUCUGCUUUAAGAUUUCGAUUGUAGAUUUGGGGGGAAUGGGCAGGAUUUGGUAAUUUAUGGGACAUGAGGGUUGAGAAGGGAGUAGAAAAUGACUCAGAAAUUGAUUACUAGUCUCGGUGAAUAAUUUAGUUCCUGAAGCAGGGGCCACAGGAAGAGAAACACUAUUUGAGUCUAAGGAAAUGGAUUAAGGUUUGGACAAAUUUGAGGUGACAUCCCUGAGGUGACAUCCAAAGCACAGUUAAACAAAGCUACCAUUUAGGGAGGGCUUGCUCUGCUCCCAGUAUUAUGUAAGUCAUGCCUUAUAUGGUUUAUCAUAUAAUGUUUAUGGUUUUAUUACCAUCACUGAUAUUUCAUGGUCACUUCUGUAUCCUUGAUAAAGGAAAAGAGAAUUAAUUAACUGUCUCUUUUGGCCACUGCCCCAGCAAUGGCCCCCAAGUAUGUAGAUUAGGAGCCUGGGGAGAAGUCAAGGUCGAUGGUGGCAGUUAAUCAUUUGUUUACAGCUUUUAUUCAGCCCCUGCCAGUGGCAAAGUGCAUGCCUUGAGCUGGGGGCACCCAGAUACCCUUAGCAACACUCUAGAGGUCUGAGGUGAUCAAGGAGUUGAUUAAGGAGUUGUGAUGGGAGUUGCCACUGUAGCUCAGUGGGUUAAGAACCUGACUAGUAUCCAUGAGGAUGCAGGUUCCAUCCUUGCCUUGCUCAGGGGGUUAUGUAUUUGGUGUUGCUGUGAGCAGUGGCGUAGGUCUCAGAUGUUGCUCAGAUCCUGAAUCACUGUGGCUGUGGCUCUGUCGACUGGCAAUUUGCAGCUCCGAAUUGACCCCUGGCCUGGAAACUUGCAUAUGCUGCAGUUGCAGCCCUAAAAAA